This is a long non-coding RNA of Sebastes umbrosus (honeycomb rockfish), 382 nucleotides long. RefSeq lists it as uncharacterized. The transcript is spliced from 3 exons. Lineage: Eukaryota; Metazoa; Chordata; Actinopteri; Perciformes; Sebastidae. The record is from RefSeq and is a predicted model, not a curated record.
CUUUUACAGGAACCUGCACCGCCUCCACCUGAAGAUCCUCACAAAGUGCUGCAGCCCAGAACUCCACCUCCAGACUCUCCCAGCAUCCUGCAGCCUCCGCCUGUCACCUAGAGAGCCCUUAGAACAUCAUGAAGACGCAGAGAGAAACUGAGCUGUUUUCAUCAUGAAUGAAAGUGAGAAGAUUAUCUGCAUACUGAUAAUGCAGAGGAGGAACUAUCCAAUUUCCAUAUGAAGACCUAAGUGGAAGAGCAGAGACCAGGGACACAUUCAGUAUGGCCCUGGUGGACUUCACGGACGUCCUGGAAGAGGAUCCCUCCUCUGUUGCUCUUCCUGAAGCUCCUUCCAUUUUUUUCCCUGUUAAAAGGGUUGUUUGGGGGGAGUU